CCUACGGGAGGCAGCAGUAGGGAAUCUUCCACAAUGGACGAAAGUCUGAUGGAGCAACGCCGCGUGAGUGAUGAAGGGUUUCGGCUCGUAAAGCUCUGUUGGUAGGGAAGAACGUUAGAGGUAGUAACUGGCCUUUACUUGACGGUAAUUACUUAGAAAGUCACGGCUAACUACGUGCCAGCAGCCGCGGUAAUACGUAGGUGGCAAGCGUUGUCCGGAUUUAUUGGGCGUAAAGCGCGUGCAGGCGGUUUAAUAAGUCUGAUGUGAAAGCCCUCGGCUCAACCGGAGAAGUACAUCAGAAACUGUAAAACUUGAGUGCAGAAGAGGAGAGUGGAACUCCAUGUGUAGCGGUGGAAUGCGUAGAUAUAUGGAAGAACACCAGUGGCGAAGGCGGCUCUCUGGUCUGCAACUGACGCUGAGGCGCGAAAGCAUGGGUAGCGAACAGGAUUAGAUACCCCUGUAGUC
RNAcentral lists this ribosomal RNA (465 nucleotides) under uncultured bacterium. RNAcentral's name for it is "partial 16S ribosomal RNA". It matches the Rfam family "Bacterial small subunit ribosomal RNA", at positions 338 to 795 of the family's 1533-position model. The record is from RNAcentral.